RNAcentral lists this non-coding RNA (28 nucleotides) under Mus musculus (house mouse). Lineage: Eukaryota; Metazoa; Chordata; Mammalia; Rodentia; Muridae. The record is from RNAcentral.
UNUAAAAAUAGUGCUGGUGGUAGAAAGG